This is a long non-coding RNA of Nyctereutes procyonoides (raccoon dog), 1310 nucleotides long. RefSeq lists it as uncharacterized. The record is from RefSeq and is a predicted model, not a curated record. The transcript has 3 exons. NCBI's taxonomy places the organism in Eukaryota, Metazoa, Chordata, Mammalia, Carnivora, Canidae.
GGGAAGGCCUAACCCCCACAGAAGCUCAGGGUUCGCGGCCGCCCAGCACAGCCCGCAGAGACCAGAGGGCCCGGGCCUGGAGGAGCCCAGCGUGGACAGGCAGAUUAUUAAGACACCUCAAGCAUACAGAGCCCACCUGGAGAAGUGCCAUCAAGUCCUGAGAGGUGAAAUGGGCCCAAGCCCUUGCCCGCGGACAGCUCUCCAAGCAUGUCCUCCCUGGACCUUUCUAACCAGUGAAUUGUUCACCACCCAGUGACUCUUUCCAACUGAGGCCAAGAGAUUUCUGGAGCCUCUUGUCAUGGUCAGCAACAUCACAAAAGUGACCAGGAAGUGAGGGUUUCUGUUGUAAGUUGCUCAGACAAAGACAAAGCAGAUGAGCCCGGCUCUGGGGAAGAAUCACAAGAGUAUGUCCACCAUGGCUGUGCCCAGAGUGCCAAGGGUUGGCGUGACUGGGGCCAGCUGGAAUUCUAGAGUUUGUAUUUGGUGCAAGUCACGCCAAAACUGCCCAGGUGAAGAGCUCCCCCCAGAAGAGAGCAGGUGUACCAGUGGGCCAAAUGGCACGCUCCUGCUACCUUGCAAAUGACCACACCCUGUCAGGGCAAGUGAGAGUCACAGACUGGAACCAAAGGAAGUCAGUCAUUUCCUAGGAGGAUAAGGAAGUCAACACCGUCAAGAAGGUCACUUUAUGAAGCUGGCAAGUUUCCCUGAUGGCGAUCAGUGGCAAUGGUGGAGUGCAGAGGUGGAGUUAGCACCCUCUCGGCUACAGAUUUUCCUUAGCAGAGCUGUGGAGUGUGACAAUGGUGUUUGUGUCCAAACUAUCAAACGCCAUUAUCACACUAAAUAGCUACUGUUAGGCAAUCCUUCCGCUCAAUAAAUGCCUUGGCAUCCGCGUGGUAUGGGCAGGGAGGUUCCUCUUACAACAGUGUUCUCGGUCCUGUUGUUAUUACUGAAUAAAUCCAGGCCCGUUGGUGCUUGUAAGCAGCAUGUCAUCCGAACUUUGCCUCUCGGAUGUUCUCUGUUGUUAAACACGUUAGCUGGUGAUGAAUUUUUUUGUUUUCCUGAGUCAAUAAAAAAUAUGGCCGUGUCCCCCAGAGCACCCAGCACAAGGCCAGGCACGUGGGAACUGUUCAACCCAGGCUUGGUGAGUUGAAAUGAAUAGUUAGGGAAGUGUUAGAUCCGGAAAAUAAAAAGCGGGUUGAACCUCGGUUGUCCAACCACAGACUUAUAGGAACAAAAUUAAAGUAUGCGGGGCCUCACUUUCCACUGGAAGAAAACAACUGUCUGAUAAACCUACACCUGGCUUAACUGAC